RNAcentral lists this long non-coding RNA (451 nucleotides) under Olea europaea subsp. europaea. Lineage: Eukaryota; Viridiplantae; Streptophyta; Magnoliopsida; Lamiales; Oleaceae. The record is from RNAcentral.
AUAGCAUUACUCCUCCUCAGCUCCUCUGCCCAACCCACUCACACAACACACUUCUCGGCACAUUUACUUCUUUAUUAAUUGACACACACUGACAUACAAGAAACAAAUCCCAAGAAACACAUUUUCACACUGCUGCUGAUUCAGAACAGAGAAAAAGGGAUAAUAAUCAAGAAAAUCCUACUGAUUUUCUUGAACCAUCGACAAAGAUACACUUCUUUCCAUUUCUACGGUCAGAUUUAGAUUGAAUUUUCUAAAACCCUUUUUCUAUUUCCAGACAUGUUCUUACAUAAUCUACAUUUCCGGGUAUUACUGGCACACCAGAUCCAUGAAUGAAUCCAAAAUUUGCAAAAACCAGAUGCUGUACCUCGUGCUUCAUUGCUUGUACAUUACAUUCUUCCCAGCCCCACCGCCAUUAUGAUUCUAUUACAUUAAACCAAGUUUAGCUCCAANU